UCCGGGAAACCGGGGCUAAUACCGGAUGGUUGUUUGAACCGCAUGGUUCAGACAUAAAAGGUGGCUUCGGCUACCACUUACAGAUGGACCCGCGGCGCAUUAGCUAGUUGGUGAGGUAACGGCUCACCAAGGCACGAUGCGUAGCCGACCUGAGAGGGUGAUCGGCCACACUGGGACUGAGACACGGCCCAGACUCCUACGGGAGGCAGCAGUAGGGAAUCUUCCGCAAUGGACGAAAGUCUGACGGAGCAACGCCGCGUGAGUGAUGAAGGUUUUCGGAUCGUAAAGCUCUGUUGUUAGGGAAGAACAAGUGCCGUUCAAAUAGGGCGGCACCUUGACGGUACCUAACCAGAAAGCCACGGCUAACUACGUGCCAGCAGCCGCGGUAAUACGUAGGUGGCAAGCGUUGUCCGGAAUUAUUGGGCGUAAAGGGCUCGCAGGCGGUUUCUUAAGUCUGAUGUGAAAGCCCCCGGCUCAACCGGGGAGGGUCAUUGGAAACUGGGGAACUUGAGUGCAGAAGAGGAGAGUGGAAUUCCACGUGUAGCGGUGAAAUGCGUAGAGAUGUGGAGGAACACCAGUGGCGAAGGCGACUCUCUGGUCUGUAACUGACGCUGAGGAGCGAAAGCGUGGGGAGCGAACAGGAUUAGAUACCCUGGUAGUCCACGCCGUAAACGAUGAGUGCUAAGUGUUAGGGGGUUUCCGCCCCUUAGUGCUGCAGCUAACGCAUUAAGCACUCCGCCUGGGGAGUACGGUCGCAAGACUGAAACUCAAAGGAAUUGACGGGGGCCCGCACAAGCGGUGGAGCAUGUGGUUUAAUUCGAAGCAACGCGAAGAACCUUACCAGGUCUUGACAUCCUCUGACAAUCCUAGAGAUAGGACGUCCCCUUCGGGGGCAGAGUGACAGGUGGUGCAUGGUUGUCGUCAGCUCGUGUCGUGAGAUGUUGGGUUAAGUCCCGCAACGAGCGCAACCCUUGAUCUUAGUUGCCAGCAUUCAGUUGGGCACUCUAAGGUGACUGCCGGUGACAAACCGGAGGAAGGUGGGGAUGACGUCAAAUCAUCAUGCCCCUUAUGACCUGGGCUACACACGUGCUACAAUGGACAGAACAAAGGGCAGCGAAACCGCGAGGUUAAGCCAAUCCCACAAAUCUGUUCUCAGUUCGGAUCGCAGUCUGCAACUCGACUGCGUGAAGCUGGAAUCGCUAGUAAUUCGUGGAUCAGCAUG
RNAcentral lists this ribosomal RNA (1222 nucleotides) under Bacillus subtilis. RNAcentral's name for it is "bacterial SSU rRNA". It matches the Rfam family "Bacterial small subunit ribosomal RNA", at positions 148 to 1356 of the family's 1533-position model. Lineage: Bacteria; Bacillati; Bacillota; Bacilli; Caryophanales; Bacillaceae. The record is from RNAcentral.